This is a long non-coding RNA of Physella acuta, 452 nucleotides long. RefSeq lists it as uncharacterized. Lineage: Eukaryota; Metazoa; Mollusca; Gastropoda; Physidae. The record is from RefSeq and is a predicted model, not a curated record.
GCUGGAAAGUUUUUGUGACGGACAGAACGACUGUCCGGACAGCCAAGAUGAAGAGAACUGCACAGGUGUCGCUUGUCCAGAGAACUACUUCCGGUGUAACACCAGCCGCUGCAUCCCCUCCACUUGGCUGUGUGACUCCUUGACUGACUGCUUGCAUGGGGAAGACGAAAAAGACUGUCCAGUAAGCUCAAACUCGACCAGCAGUAUUGGCACUACAAUGCAAGUGACCUCGAGUGAUCAAAGCACCCAUCAGACGACCGCGCCCCCGAAAUCUGGCAGAAGAAAACGUGAAGCGAAAAUUGUUUCUGGGUUGCCAAAAAAGCAGAUGCAGUUGCCUGAAAAGUUAAGACAAAAGCUUUUAACAAUGAUAAGCCGAGAUGGCCAUAAGGAGAAAGUCAUCAAUGAAUUAUACAGGAGUUAUCGCGAGUUCCAAAAGACUGGGAGUAGACAGC